GACGAACCGUGCGAACGUUGUUCGGAUUCACUGGGCUUAAAGGGCGCGUAGGCGGUCAGCACAAGUCAGUUGUGAAAUCUCCGGGCUUAACUCGGAAAGGUCAACUGAUACUGUGCGACUAGAGUGCAGAAGGGGCAACUGGAAUUCUCGGUGUAGCGGUGAAAUGCGUAGAUAUCGAGAGGAACACCUGCGGCGAAGGCGGGUUGCUGGGCUGACACUGACGCUGAUGCGCGAAAGCCAGGGGAGCGAACGGG
RNAcentral lists this ribosomal RNA (254 nucleotides) under uncultured bacterium. RNAcentral describes it as "partial 16S ribosomal RNA". It matches the Rfam family "Bacterial small subunit ribosomal RNA", at positions 524 to 776 of the family's 1533-position model. The record is from RNAcentral.